This 378-nucleotide long non-coding RNA is filed under the name Panax ginseng (ginseng). RNAcentral's name for it is "long non-coding RNA (PGIN_LNC007412)". Lineage: Eukaryota; Viridiplantae; Streptophyta; Magnoliopsida; Apiales; Araliaceae. The record is from RNAcentral.
ACGAUGAGGCUUAGAAUAUAAGGAAAUGAAGAAUAGUUUAUGAUUAUGCCACCGAGACGAAAACAAAAACCAGCCGUGGAAGAUCAACCAGAUAAUCGAACGACGAACGCCAAAGACUUCAAGGCAAUCCUAUUGCUAGGGUAUAGAGGAUUAAGUGACUCAGUAGAAGCGUUUAUGAUAGUUAGGAUAACGGAAAGGGCGAAAGAUAACUUUAUCACCUAUACGAUAAAAGAGAAAUGAGAUAAAGAAAAAGUUUAUGUGCUAUGUGUGUGGGCAGAAGAGACAUAUCUCUUCCAAUUGUCCCAAUUCAAGAAUGUGUAGCGAACGUUUUAUUUGUGAAUCAAUGGAGUAUAAGGUGAAAGAUUAUUCAAGAAGGAG